This 1429-nucleotide ribosomal RNA is filed under the name uncultured bacterium. Its description in RNAcentral is "bacterial SSU rRNA". It matches the Rfam family "Bacterial small subunit ribosomal RNA". The record is from RNAcentral.
CCCUUAGAGUUUGAUCCUGGCUCAGGGUGAACGCUAGCGGCGUGCCUAAGGCAUGCAAGUCGAACGAGUGUAGCAAUACACUAGUGGCAGACGGGUGAGUAGCGCGUAGGAAUCUACCCUAAAGUGUGGAAUAACCAGCCGAAAGGUUGGCUAAUACCGCAUGUGAUCGCAAGAUUAAAGCUCGUAACUGGGCGCUUUAGGAGGAGCCUGCGUCCCAUCAGCUUGUUGGUAAGGUAAAAGCUUACCAAGGCUAUGACGGGUAGCUGGUCUGAGAGGAUGGUCAGCCACAAUGGCACUGAGACACGGGCCAUACACCUACGGGUGGCAGCAACUAGGAAUAUUCGGCAAUGGGCGAAAGCCUGACCGAGCGACGCCGCGUGAAGGAUGAAGGCCUUCGGGUUGUAAACUUCUUUUGCCAAACAGUCGAUGUUUGGAGAAUAAGCCGCUGCUAACUACGUGCCAGCAGCCGCGGUGAUACGUAGGCGGCAAGCGUUACCCGGAUUUAUUGGGCGUAAAGCGUGCGCAGGCGGUUUGGAAAGUCAUCAUUGAAAUCUUGGGGCUCAACCCCAAGCCUGGUGGUGAUACUUUCAGACUAGAUUACUUGAGGGGGUACCGGAACAGUUGGUGGAGCAGUGAAAUGCGUUGAUAUCAAUUGGAACACCAAAGGCGAAGGCAGGUACCUGGCAAGUCAAUGACGCUGUUGCACGAAAGCGUGGGGAGCAAAACGGAUUAGAUACCCGUGUAGUCCACGCCGUAAACUAUGGACACUAGAUAUCAGGCUGGUUGACGGCUUGGUGUCGUAAGCUAACGCGUUAAGUGUCCCGCCUGGGGAGUACGGCCGCAAGGCUAAAACUCAAAGGAAUUGACGGGGACCCGCACAAGUAGGGGAACGUGUGGUUUAAUUCGAGACAAAACGAAAAACCUCACCAGGGUUUGAAAUGUAUGUUUUAGGACUCCGAAAGGAGAACAAACCGCAAGGUAGCAUACACAGGUGCUGCAUGGCUGUCGUCAGCUCGUGUCGUGAGAUGUCGUCUUAAGUGACUCAACGAGCGUAACCCUCAUCAUUAGUUGUAUCACUCUAAUGAAACUGCCGCGUACAACGCGGAGGAAGGCGAGGAUGACGUCAAGUCAUCAUAGCCCUUAUGUCCUGGGCUACACACACGUUACAAUGCAUAGGAACAACGGGCUGCUAACUCGCGAGAGUAUGCUAAUCCCUAAAAACUAUGCUCAGUUCAGAUUGCAGUCUGAAAUUCGACUGCAUGAAGAUGGACUUACUAGUAAUCGCAGAUCAGCAUGCUGCGGUGAAUACGUUCUCGGGUCUUGUACACACCGCCCGUCAAGUAGGGAAAGUUGGGGGCACCCGAAGGACCUUUAUGGUACGAAGGUGAACUCAGCGAUCAAUGCUAAGUCGUAACAAGGUAACCAAGGG